RNAcentral lists this microRNA (25 nucleotides) under Canis lupus familiaris (dog). Its description in RNAcentral is "cfa-miR-8852". Lineage: Eukaryota; Metazoa; Chordata; Mammalia; Carnivora; Canidae. The record is from miRBase by way of RNAcentral.
UGCAUUCGUGUGGACUCUGUGCAUG